CCGGCUGGCGCGCCGCUCACCUCCUGCAGCAGCAGCAGCAGCAGCACCCGGGGUCCCGCAGCAUAAGUUCUGCCGGCAAGUCGGCUCCCCGCAGCGCCCAGACGCAAGCCACUUCCGUUCCUCCGCUACUUCAGACCCGGUCAAGCUAACGGAAGUGCUUCCUUUUUAUAGUCCGGGUGGACGCAAGUUCCGUGGCGGCACUGAGCCUUAGGGCAACCACUAGCCUUGGGACUUACGCGGCAACUGAGCGCCUCAAAGGGGGAAAGGGUCCUGAAGCUCUCUAAGGUGGCUUUGAAAUAGGUCCACACAUUCUUCCACAUUCCUUUCUUCAAGAGGUGGAGCCUGAUUCCCCUCCCCUUGAGUGUGGGCUGAACUUAGUGACUCACUUCUAAUGAACAGAACCACGGUCUGUGGCUUCCAAGACUGGGUCAUAAGAGGCACUGUUUGUGGCUUCCUCCUUGCUCUAUCUUCUGUCUCACUGUGGGGAAAGCCAACUGCCAUAUCAUGAGAAGACUCAAGCAGCAGCUCUAGGGUUAGGCCUGCAUGGUGAGGCACUGAGACCUCAUGACCAUAAGCAGUAUUGGAAUGGAUCCUCCGACCCCAGUCAAGCCUUCAGAUGACUGCAGCCCUGGCCGACAACUUGACUGCAACCUCAUGAGCAACUCUGAGACAAGAACAGCCCAGCUUAGCCCCUCCCAAAUUCCUGACCCACAGAACCUAGGACAUAAUGAAUAUUUGUCAUUUUAAGCUGCAAAAUUCAGGGUCAUUUGUCUGCUAAAUUUGGGGUAAUUUGUCACACAAAAAUAAAUAACCAAUACACUCUCUUUGGCCC
Molecule: long non-coding RNA, 832 nt
Organism: Callithrix jacchus (white-tufted-ear marmoset)
Lineage: Eukaryota; Metazoa; Chordata; Mammalia; Primates; Cebidae
Source: RefSeq, a predicted model, not a curated record